This 75-nucleotide transfer RNA is filed under the name Tremella mesenterica DSM 1558. RNAcentral's name for it is "tRNA-Tyr (GTA) (tRNA-Tyr-GTA-1-1)". It matches the Rfam family "tRNA". Rfam says of the family: Transfer RNA (tRNA) molecules are approximately 80 nucleotides in length. Their secondary structure includes four short double-helical elements and three loops (D, anti-codon, and T loops). Further hydrogen bonds mediate the characteristic L-shaped molecular structure. tRNAs have two regions of fundamental functional importance: the anti-codon, which is responsible for specific mRNA codon recognition, and the 3' end, to which the tRNAs corresponding amino acid is attached (by aminoacyl-tRNA synthetases). tRNAs cope with the degeneracy of the genetic code in two manners: having more than one tRNA (with a specific anti-codon) for a particular amino acid; and 'wobble' base-pairing, i.e. permitting non-standard base-pairing at the 3rd anti-codon position. Lineage: Eukaryota; Fungi; Basidiomycota; Tremellomycetes; Tremellales; Tremellaceae. The record is from RNAcentral.
CUUUCGGUAGCUCAGCUGGUUUAGAGUAGGGGACUGUAAAUCCCUUGGUCGGGUGUUCGAAUCACCCCCGAAAGA